CCGGGUACAAUGCGAAGCGAAGCAGUGAUGUGAAGCAAAUCGCACCAAAGCCGGUCCCAGUUCGGAUAAGAGGCUGAAACUCGCCNCUUUGAAGUCGGAAUCGCUAGUAAUCGCAGAUCAGCAUGUUGCGGUGAAUACGUUCCCGGGUCUUGUACACACCGCCCGUCAAACCAUGAGAGUCACCAACACCCGAAGUCCGCUUUGGCGGCCUAAGGUGGGGGAGAUGAUUGGGGUUAAGUCGUAACAAGGUAAC
Molecule: ribosomal RNA, 253 nt
Filed under: uncultured bacterium
Lineage: Bacteria
Description: partial 16S ribosomal RNA
Rfam family: Bacterial small subunit ribosomal RNA
Source: RNAcentral